This 327-nucleotide ribosomal RNA is filed under the name uncultured eukaryote. RNAcentral's name for it is "partial 18S ribosomal RNA". It matches the Rfam family "Eukaryotic small subunit ribosomal RNA", at positions 1470 to 1796 of the family's 1831-position model. The record is from RNAcentral.
CCCUUAGAUGUUCUGGGCCGCACGCGCGCUACACUGACGAAUGCAACGAGCUUAUAACCUUGGCCGAAAGGUCUGGGUAAUCUCCAAAUUUCGUCGUGAUGGGGAUAGAUUAUUGCAAUUAUUAAUCUUCAACAAGGAAUGCCUAGUAAGCGCAAGUCAUCAGCUUGCGUUGAUUACGUCCCUGCCCUUUGUACACACCGCCCGUCGCUCCUACCGAUUGAAUGGUCCGGUGAAGCGUUCGGACCGUGGCCUUUGGACGGUUCGCCGUCUGUUGGCUGCGGGAAGUUCGUUAAACCUUAUCAUUUAGAGGAAGGAGAAGUCGUAACA